AAUGAAAGAUCAUUUAUAUGCAAUUAUAAGGAACACUGGUUUACAGUUAGAAAAUUAGGAAAACAGUGGUUUAACUUGAAUUCUCUCUUGACGGGUCCAGAAUUAAUAUCAGAUACAAGUGCACUGUGGCAGUGCUGCUUGCUCAGGACCCAGCCCUGCAGCCCUUCUGUGUGUGCUCCCUCGUUAAGUUCAUUUGCUGUUAUUACACACACAGGCCUUCCUGUCUGGUCAUUAGAAAAGCCGGGCUUCCAAAGCACUGUUGAACGCUGAGGAUUCUGUUGUUAGUGUGGUUGUUCAAUGAGUUGUAUUUUAAAUAUCAAAGAUUAUUAAAUAAAGAUAAUGUUUGCUUUUCUA
This 354-nucleotide small RNA is filed under the name Pongo abelii (Sumatran orangutan). RNAcentral's name for it is "processed transcript". The record is from RNAcentral. Lineage: Eukaryota; Metazoa; Chordata; Mammalia; Primates; Hominidae.